UCAGACGAUGCGUCAUGCAUAUCAAUAAGCGGAGGAAAAGAAACUAACAAGGAUUCCCCUAGUAACGGCGAGUGAAGCGGGAAGAGCUCAAAUUUGAAAUCUUAAAGGGUUUCCCUUUACGAAUUGUAGUUUAAAGAAGUGUUUUCUGUUGAGGUUUUGGUAAAAGUUCUUUGGAAUAGGACAUCAUAGAGGGUGAGAAUCCCGUAUUUGACCUUUACUUUCAACUUUGUGAUACACUUUCAAAGAGUCGGAUUGUUUGGGAAUGCAGUCCAAAAUGGGUGGUAAAUUUCAUCUAAAGCUAAAUAUUGGCGAGAGACCGAUAGCGAACAAGUACCGUGAGGGAAAGAUGAAAAGAACUUUGAAAAGAGAGUUAAACAGUACGUGAAAUUGUCAAAAGGGAAGCGUUUGACACCAGUGUUGUUUUUCUGAAAAUCAAUUAAAGAACUGUUUAUGCUAAGUUGUUUAGACUUUAUCAGCUACUGUUUAGUUUUGAGCUUUUCUUUAAUGCACUUUUCAGUUAACAAGUCAACAUCAAUUUCUUUUGCUGUAAAAAAGCUAGAGGAAGGUGGCUUGAGAUUCGUCUUAAGUGUUUAUAGCCUCUUGCCUAUGCAGUCGGAGAGAUUGAGGUCUGCAGCGUAGAUCCUUCGGGGCUAAAUGCAUUUGUGCUAAGUUAUAGCAUUUUAUAGACAACUUGUUGACUAUGAUUUGUCUUGUAGCUUACUCGCUUAUGUUAUUUUACCUACGCUUAGGAUGUUGACACACGCGCGUGCUCG
This 773-nucleotide ribosomal RNA is filed under the name uncultured Neocallimastigales. Its description in RNAcentral is "partial large subunit ribosomal RNA". It matches the Rfam family "Eukaryotic large subunit ribosomal RNA", at positions 18 to 643 of the family's 3401-position model. Lineage: Eukaryota; Fungi; Neocallimastigomycota; Neocallimastigomycetes; Neocallimastigales. The record is from RNAcentral.